Molecule: long non-coding RNA, 2612 nt
Filed under: Triticum aestivum (bread wheat)
Lineage: Eukaryota; Viridiplantae; Streptophyta; Magnoliopsida; Poales; Poaceae
Description: long non-coding RNA (TAES_LNC009067)
Source: RNAcentral
CAAUCACAGCUUUAAUUAAACAUAUGGUACUGAUUGUCACAUACAUAUAGUUUAUGUGUUCUAAGCAUAAUCACCAAGACAUCAUACAUCAGGUGCACCAAACAUUUUUUAUUCCAUUAACUAAUGGUCACAUACAUACACUUCAGUUGUUCCAAACAUAACCACCAAGACACCAUACAUCAGGUUCAACAAAGGACAGCGAAAAGACUGCAACUAUGAGACAUCCAUUUUAUGCAGAUCGCUGGCUUCAUGGUUCAUUGUGAGUCGAGUCCUUAUGUUUGCUUCCUACAAAAGUUAAACAAGUCUCAAUUAUUAGAAUGCUCAAUUAAUUUAUGAAAUGGAAUGCAGGCAGAAUUCACAUGUACUAUGUGCACACACAGCAGCAGAAAAUGAAGAAUACACUUGCCUAAUCUACAAAACUAGCAUUUCUGGACGUCAAGACCUCCAAUCAACUUCCAGCAAUAGCCAUGGAUGUGGCAAAGAAGCCCUCGGUCCACCUUUUGUCUAUCUAUUUGAAAGAAAACGCAUCAUUUACUUUGUAUGAUUGCUGAUCAUAAAGUCUCCGGGGAUAUACUUAAGUUACUGUACAUAGGUAUGAGAAGCCAAUAUUCCAACACUUGUUUGCAAAGAAAAUAAACAUACAACUUUAUAGAUAGUGAAUACAGUGAGUAAACAAGAUUCGGGUCUAGCCUUGUUCUUGAGCCGACUCCAGAGUGAUUUCCCCUUUUCAGGCAUGGGUCUCACCUUGACUUGUGGUAGUUUCUCCUACUCUACAGAGUUCAUUAGGAUUCACACAUUUUGAAUUAGCAAGGUGAAAGUACUAACAAGAUCAAAAAAUGUGGAGCCAAAUCCUCUAAACUCUUGCCGAUUUUUACAUGAAUUGAGUUUUGACUUUGGAGGCUUUGUAGUCAGAUUUAAAGUUUCAGGUAACAGAUGACCAAAGGCCCAAACUUCUCGAUCAAACUCCAUAGUGGAGUAAGAGAUCGAACGCUUUUGCAUAGAAGUGGCCAAGGAUCCAGAUAAUGUAUGUCAAGUUAAGUAAUCCCGUGCAAACAUUCAGAUUAGCUUCUCCUAUAACACCAUUCAUUUAAACUGAAAACUGAUUCAUUUGGGCUUCAGGAUUUUGGACCUGUUAGUUUAAUCCUCUAAUUCAAGGGUACUUUUCAAAGUUUUCAGUGCCCAAACUAACAGGUCCAGAAUUAGUGGAUUAAAGGGUACUUUUCAAAGUUCCACGGAAAGCAGUAAAAGUUGGAGCCAGCUAUAUAUUUAUGGCCAGAAACAUAUAUGCAUACAUAAAACACAUAGCAUGAGGAAAGUAUCUAUCAAGUACAUGGAAACCCUGGUCACUACCAAACAUGAAGAAACAUGAAGAAACGGGUAUAGAAGCGAUGAACAAAACAUUAACUUUGCCCUUUGGCGUAUCCAAUUAAUAGGAACAACAGUAUUAGAAACUGUAUGAGAUGUACCAUACAGCUAGUCAAAUAAUAGGUUUCUUACAUUGCUUGGGGUUGGAUGUGCACAACGUCAUUCUGUACAGAUUAAUUUUUUAGCACCACAUACUGAUCGGCUAAAAAUACUGGCACAUGGAGGUCCCAUCCCAUAACAUAGCCAAGCAUCAACAAAAAUCAGGGAAGGAAAAUAUGAUGAAACCAAAGAUAAUACCAUAGCUCCAGAUGAGGAAAAUGAGCACUCACUAAUAGAAAAUAAGAGACGUAGACCACCACCUAGGAAUCUUAUAUAUGAACUGGUUUCCAGCUUCCAAGACCAAUUAGCCAGAGUCAAGGUUUGCUUAGCCUGCAGAUAAUAAAAAAUAAACAAAAGAACCAUAAUUAGAGAGAAGACAAAAAAUAGGCAAAGAAAUAGUAGUGGGGAUAAGUGGUGGAUUUGAAGGCAUUUGUAUCUUCUCCUCGCCGGUCGCCACAAGAAAAUAGUGCUGGAUUAGAUGUGGUGUAUAUGCAUAUUCCCUGGUACACGUUGGCUCAUUUACUUCCAUGGCAAAGCAGGACAGUGUAGACCAUCAGGAGUUCAUCUUCGCCUACAACCUAGGAUAAUCCGCAGGACGGGAGUUAAAACGAGAAUAACGUAGAAGAUAUAAGAACGCAUGUGAUUACACAUUCCAAUACUAAAAGGCAGCAAGCCAUCAAUGUUGUAAACAAAUAGAUGAAACUACUUCCAAGAAACUAUAACAUCACAAUAAUAUGUUCCCCUUCUUUUAACUCCCACCAAACAUAUUGUACACAAUGUUUCCUCCAACAGCAAUAAUCCUUAUCAUGCAUGAUUUCACUUGACAUAACAAUCAAUUAAAGCCUAAGCUUUAUGCAGAAUGCAGAUAACUCACGGAAGUAAUAAACUGAAAAUCUGAAAGAAUCUAAAUAAAAAUAAAAAGGUAGUGUACAACUCAGGUGGAGAAACAAUUAACGGUGUACCGACUGCCAGCAGCCAAAAAAUAAUCGAGCGGCCCAUACUGCUGCGUCGCGACAAUGCCUCCAGAAUGGCUGGUGGCCUAGCGUGAUUUAUAAGUUCCAUGCUCCAGGAUCUAUAGCUUCCUCCAUUGCUUGAUGAUGGCUUGAAAUUUUUUAUAACUUCAUAUCUGAAACCAUCUCCUUUCUUGU